RNAcentral lists this ribosomal RNA (517 nucleotides) under Staphylococcus aureus. RNAcentral's name for it is "partial 23S ribosomal RNA". It matches the Rfam family "Bacterial large subunit ribosomal RNA", at positions 2408 to 2925 of the family's 2925-position model. The record is from RNAcentral. Lineage: Bacteria; Bacillati; Bacillota; Bacilli; Caryophanales; Staphylococcaceae.
GGACUUAGUGAUCCGGUGGUUCCGCAUGGAAGGGCCAUCGCUCAACGGAUAAAAGCUACCCCGGGGAUAACAGGCUUAUCUCCCCCAAGAGUUCACAUCGACGGGGAGGUUUGGCACCUCGAUGUCGGCUCAUCGCAUCCUGGGGCUGUAGUCGGUCCCAAGGGUUGGGCUGUUCGCCCAUUAAAGCGGUACGCGAGCUGGGUUCAGAACGUCGUGAGACAGUUCGGUCCCUAUCCGUCGUGGGCGUAGGAAAUUUGAGAGGAGCUGUCCUUAGUACGAGAGGACCGGGAUGGACAUACCUCUGGUGUACCAGUUGUCGUGCCAACGGCAUAGCUGGGUAGCUAUGUGUGGACGGGAUAAGUGCUGAAAGCAUCUAAGCAUGAAGCCCCCCUCAAGAUGAGAUUUCCCAACUUCGGUUAUAAGAUCCCUCAAAGAUGAUGAGGUUAAUAGGUUCGAGGUGGAAGCAUGGUGACAUGUGGAGCUGACGAAUACUAAUCGAUCGAAGACUUAAUCAAAA